This 4917-nucleotide long non-coding RNA is filed under the name Citrus sinensis (sweet orange). Its description in RNAcentral is "long non-coding RNA (CSIN_LNC002240)". The record is from RNAcentral. Lineage: Eukaryota; Viridiplantae; Streptophyta; Magnoliopsida; Sapindales; Rutaceae.
AAAGGAAUAUAAAUAAACAAGUGACUCUGUUGAUUUGGUCUCUGCAAAUUCUCUAGGGACUAGGUUCCGCUUCCUCUUGAUGAGAACUCGCUUCAAAUUCCUCUUCAUCAGAAGUUCCACUUGUGCUUGUCUUAUCAUCCAAUUUCCAAAUUUGGGUAGCAAAGUUGAGAGUAAGGUUGUUGGGUUUGGUCUUGUCGGGAUUUGCAUAUACUGGACACAACCCACAACAUAAUACCACAUUGGACUUUGAGAGGAACUCAAAUGAGACGGUUGUAUGGUGGUUAUCAUCAGGAAACCUAACAUUCCCGCAUGGACUAAAUCCAAGCAUGACAUGAUCUGUUUUAGUUAUCUGAAAACUAUCCCAAACACGAGCGACGAACAUGUUUUCUUUCAGAGAGAGUGCUAAUUUCAAAGGUGUAUUGACAGUGGACAUCAAAUAAGUAAUGUGAACUUUUAGAUCCAAGAACAGCACCAAGAGCAAAUCCCAUCAAGUUUUGACGAAAAUGCUGAGGCAGUUGAAGAGUUAUUUCGGAUCCUGAACUUUGAUUGCUGGACCACUCCGCAAUUUUGCUCCAGGGUAAGAGUAUACAGCAUUCCUGUAAAAUCAAAUUCAUGAUUUCAGAUGUGAUGAAGAGGGAUAGACUGAGAAAAGAGAGAGAAUUGCAUACUAUUUCCAAUUCAGUAAAAUCGUCUCAAUGAUGCAAUUGCCAUAUGCUUAAUCCUUAGUUGUGAAUCUGCCAAAUUCUUGUUGUUUGCUUCUUCAUCUAGUUUCAAGCAAUUAGUAAACCGGAACUCAAUGGACGAUCUCUCUCGCGUCCAUAAUUUAUCUUCAUUUUCAUGGGAGAAUUUGGAUAGCUUUUUGAGUAAGGAAGCAUCUAGAUCUUCCACAGAUGACGUAAUAUCUGGCAAAGAUUUUAGCCGCUUGCAAUUACUUGCAUCUAAUCUUCUUCAGAUGUAAUGGGAGCUCUGGUAUUGACUGAAGCAUAUUGCAAUUCCUCAAGUAAGGAUAUCUCAACCGUGAAAAUUGCUUGAUACUUGCAGGUAAACUCUCAAGGUUAUUUUCACAUAGAUCUAAUGUUUCCAAUGAGUAUAUACAGCCAAUCUCUUGUGGAAUAGCUAUUAAAACACAUCACUUAAAUUUAGCAAUCCCAAAGGAGAUAAAAAUGAUAAUAACAAUGCAGGCAAUGACACCAAACCUAUGCAUCCUUUGAACCAAAGUUUUUUAAAUUGUUUGAAUCUGCAACAGAGGAUAGUAGUUGACUAAUGGCUGAUCCAUGUGAACCAAUGUACUCAAAAGAUUUUAAAUUGCCAUUGAUAUUUGGCAAAUUAUCUAGUUCAGAACAACUCCCUAAGCCCAGCACUUCAAGCUCUUCUAGAUUUUCAAAUGAAGACGGCAGCUACUCUGUAAUUGUAGUCCUGCCUAAAUUGAUUUGAUUUAAUGUUUUAUUUUCUCCAUGCUUUCUGGGAAGCUCUCAAGGUUUAAGCACUCGUAAAGAGAAAGCCAAAUCAGAGAUUUCAAUUUACAAAAAUUCUAGUUGAAACCCUCUUCAGCCUUGAACAACUAUCCAAACUGAACACUUGAAGAUUAGUUAGGCACUCUAUUGAUGAGGAAACUUCUUCUAUUGCAGUUUAGUGUAAGUCCAGAUCUGUUAUAUUCCCAGAAAUCUGUGGAAACUCUGUGAAAUUAAUGCAAGAUGAGAAAUCCAUAGCUGUAGGAGAAACAAAAUGUAGGUUGCUUGGGAAAGACCUAAGACUUUUGCAGCCCCUGAAACACAACCUACUAAGAUGGUUGAAAUUCUGGAUGGAUGAGGAAAUGUAAGAAUAUCCUGUACAAUUCAAAAUAUUUGUUCUCUCAAGAUUUGGGGCUUCUGAUAGGUCUGGCAUCCUAAGGAGAUAUUGGAAAUGGCGGAGAUCAACAGAUUUUAACACGAAAGCUUUCUAUAACAAAAAAUAAACAAAGACCACUAAACUAGUAUCAAUGAAUUACAUAAUUAAUUAUGUGUUGUAUUAAGAAAGAAAAAUUUAAUGUUCUAGUAUUAGUACACCUACCUUUUUUCCUUCCCAAAUUUGCUCAACUUUACUGUAAGGCAAACUGAGCUCAAUAAGAUUCUCUGGUUCAAAAUCAUAAGGCAGUGUUUUCAAAGGAUAUUCGUGUCAAUGGAGAUAUCUCAAUUCUUCAGGAAGAUAUUCUAGACCUUGAUCAAGAUGCACUUUAGUCAACAUCAUUAUGCUUGGGCAUAUAGAAUUUAAGCAAUCUAAGAUUGGACAUAUUUGCAAAGGUUUGAGGACUUAGAUGUAUAUUGUUUAUUUUUGACAAAUCAAGGAGUAUGCCUUCAAUUUUAUUGGUACCCUUCCAAACAAAAGUAAAGAAUGAUAAGCAUAUAAAAUCUACAAAAACUUUUGAAAAAUUGAUUAAAAGCUUCCUAAUUGAAGAUAAAAUGUGAAUUUGUUAAUUUUUUUUAAUUUAUUCAACAUUUGAACUCACUAGCGAUCAGCCUCUUCCUUUCUCCUUGAUUUAUAGGCUUUUUCAUUUCUCUUUUAUCUAAAAGUUCAGAAGAUAAACGUUUAAAAAAUUCAUAAACCGAAGUACAUGAGAUGCUCUAUUUAAUCUACUUUUUCGGUGAUUGCAAAUGAUGCUCUCAUUUAAAAGUGUCUGUAGGAGCCAAAAAUGUUUAAUUGCCUAAAUAACUAGCCUAGGCUUUUUAGUUUGAAAGAUAUGUUUUUCUAUUACUAAGAAUCUGAGAUGCUCCCGAGUUUUAAAAGAAAUGAUAUCAUACUGAAUCACUAUAAAAAUUAAAUGAGAAAAUGUUUUGGUUGUUUCGUCCAAAAAAGUAACAUUGACUGAGGAUGUCUUUGGUAAUAACAAAUUUACUGAAAACAUGUGUAUGAGAGGAAUUUGAUUGUGCAUCUAUUGUUAACAUUUAAAACUCAAAUAGAUAGAUUCUCACCUUAUUUUUCUUUAAUACAUGAUAGACGUCCUUGUGAUCCCACAACCUAUUACAUUUGCUGAUAGAGUUUUGGCGAACAAUGGUCUGACCCAUUUCUUGCAAUAAAUCAUGCAUUUGCAGCUCAUUAUAGAAUAUUGUAAUGAGUGACUUAUCAACAAGAGCUCUCGAAUCAAACAGAGGUAUAAACUAUAGCAUAUACACACAAAUCUCAACUGCAUUAGAAGGUAGAGUUUUCUUUUUCACAUGAAUUGGAGUUAAAAGGUUUGAAUUUCUGAUUGCAUUGUCAUAAAUCUUGAAUAUCUCAAUUUGUCCAGACUUUUGGUUUUCUAUUUCUACUGACUAGUAUACUAGAUUCAUUGGAUGCAUUGAAUCAAGAACUAACAAGACAACUGGAAAUCAGAAUCAAAGACAUACAGCAAAAACAAAACAGAGGAUUUACUUGGUUCAAUACGAACUGACAUUCGCAGGGGCAGCAUAUCAGAGACGGCCUUAUUUCAACCUGGAAAGCAUCAUGAUCUUCACUCAAGAUUACUGUGUGAAGAUCAUGAUGCUCCGUCAAGGAAUUUGAAUCUAGAAAGAACUCUCAAAAUGGCCAAGAAAAUCUGGAUGAGAAUUACUGUGUUGCCCCCUCUAACCACCAGCUUAAUUAUACAAAGUUAAAAGAGGAUUUUGCUGAGCUGCCAAAAUGACAUGUUCACACACCAAGGAACAGAAGACAAAGCCUUCAAUAGAUUGCUUGACGCAAAAAAUCUGUCUCGAUUUUCUGCUCUUCAUACUUAUGUGAAGCUAUUGAAGCUCAUCCGUGCCGCUAACGGCUCUCAUAGUGUAUAAAUACACACCCAACAUGCUGACAAGCCACCAAAAACUACCAGAUUCUAGGCCUUAGGAGCGAGCAAUAACAGAAUGCCUCGGUGGUUAUACAUUUGAAGCUGGGCACUGACCAAGAAAAUGUAUUCAAAUUAGUGUAUUUUCUAAAUGUUUGUAGUUUGACACUAUUAGUUAAUUAAGGACAGUAAAUAAAAAGAUAAUGCACAAACAUCAAAACCUAAAAUUAGUUAUAAUGCCGGGACCUUGAUGUAUAAAUUGCAAAAGAACAUCAUUAAUAUACUUGCGCUGAAAAUUGCAUUAACCAAACAGAACAUUACACCUCAAUGCUUAUAUAUGACGUAAAAGGGUGUCUAGCCCGAAGGAUUAUUUUUUGCCUACUCUUACUAAGGAAAACAACAAUGGAGGAUUAAAACAUGAGAUUCAAAAGAAAAAUCCGAAUUAAUUAAAACCACAACUUAUUACAUUCAGUUUUAGCCAAAAAAAAAAAUUCUUUAAUGCAAAUAAAUAAAUCCAAAAUAAGAAAGCAAAUUAAUAAUGAAAUAUACAUUAAAUGAAUAGGGAGGUUCAUUAAAGCAAGGGCUUGAAAUGAUGAAAAUCUUAAAUUUUCAAACAAUGUAAUUCACUAAAUAACAUCAAAACUUCAUUUCUGUAAUCAAAAUUUGUGUGAAUGAAUGGAAGAAAUAUGAAUUUGUACAGCACAAUUUUUGAAAAGUGUAAGAUUUUCUCUGUUUUUUUUCCCUUAAGAGAGAGAGGUUAUUAUGAAUAAUAAUAAACAGGAUAAAGAAAUAGAAAUCAAUUGGAGCAUUGGACUUACUGAAAAAAAAGGAAUAUAAAUAAACAAGUGACUCUGUUGAUUUGGUCUCUGCAAAUUCUCUAGGGACUAGGUUCCGCUUCCUCUUGAUGAGAACUCGCUUCAAAUUCCUCUUCAUCAGAAGUUCCACUUGUGCUUGUCUUAUCAUCCAAUUUCCAAAUUUGGGUAGCAAAGUUGAGAGUAAGGUUGUUGGGUUUGGUCUUGUCGGGAUUUGCAUAUACUGGACACAACCCACAACAUAAUACCACAUUGGACUUUGAGAGGAACUCAAAUGAGACGGUUGUAUGGUGGUUAUCAUCAGGAAACCUAACAUUCCCGCAUGGACUAAAU